RNAcentral lists this long non-coding RNA (450 nucleotides) under Phascolarctos cinereus (koala). RNAcentral's name for it is "lncRNA (ENSPCIG00000013231.2)". The record is from RNAcentral. Lineage: Eukaryota; Metazoa; Chordata; Mammalia; Diprotodontia; Phascolarctidae.
UUCUUUGUAAUCCUAUUUAUUUUAUGUUCUUAAAAAAGUUAUUUUUUUUUAUUUCAUUAAGACUUUAUUGCAGUGGAAAAUGGAGCAGCCCCUCAACUGGAGCCAUCCUUGUCAUGGCCUAGGAGGUGGGGGAGGGAGAGAUGCCAGUGAAGAUGUGUCUCUGGGGGAUACUCUGAUCCCUGAGGUUCAAGCCUAAGGACUGGAAAGUGAUCCCAUCCCCAGGCAGUUGGAGGGCCAGAAAUGGCCAGAGCCACAUGAGGGCCCAGUGGGAGCCCAGGGUCCACCAGGGGCCCAGGUCAUAGAGGGGCUGGCCAUGGCCCCACUUCAGGUGGUCUGGCCCCACAGCAGCAGCAUCCCAUGGAAAAGCAGCCCAUCCAACAAAGAAGAGGUCCAUAGGCUUCACCAUACUGCCAAAGGGGAUCCAUGAGACAAUAAAAUGUUAAUAAUCCC